UCCAGACUCCUACGGGAGGCAGCAGUGGGGGAUAUUGCACAAUGGGGGAAACCCUGAUGCAGCGACGCCGCGUGGGUGAAGAAGUAUUUCGGUAUGUAAAGCCCUCUCAGCAGGGAAGAAAGAAGACGGUACCUGACUAAGAAGCCCCGGCUAACUACGUGCCAGCAGCCGCGGUAAUACGUAGGGGGCGAGCGUUAUCCGGAUUCACUGGGUGUAAAGGGAGCGUAGACGGCCGUGCAAGCCAGGAGUGAAAGCCCGGGGCCCAACCCCGGGACUGCUCUGGAAACUGCGUCGCUGGAGUACGGGAGGGGCAGGCGGAAUUCCUGGUGUAGCGGUGAAAUGCGUAGAUAUCAGGAGGAACACCGGCGGCGAAGGCGGCCUGCUGGACCGUGACUGACGUUGAGGCUCGAGAGCGUGGGGAGCAAACAGGAUUAGAUACCCUAGUA
RNAcentral lists this ribosomal RNA (446 nucleotides) under uncultured bacterium. RNAcentral describes it as "bacterial SSU rRNA". It matches the Rfam family "Bacterial small subunit ribosomal RNA", at positions 330 to 792 of the family's 1533-position model. The record is from RNAcentral.